Molecule: long non-coding RNA, 302 nt
Filed under: Mytilus galloprovincialis (Mediterranean mussel)
Lineage: Eukaryota; Metazoa; Mollusca; Bivalvia; Mytilida; Mytilidae
Source: RNAcentral
CAAAGGUUUCUUAACGCCUUUAAUUAUAAAAUAAUUCGAAAAAUUAAUCAAGAAUAACCUUUGUGUUUUGAUUUAUAUAAUUGAUAUAAAUCAAAAUAUCGUGUUAUUUCUGAUUAAUUUUUCGAAUUACUUUAUUUAGGUGUUGAGAACCUUUGGUGACCCCAUAGUUUAAGUGUCUUUAAAAAGUACAUAGUGAGCUUUGGUCGUUACAUACAAACGUUCACCUAAAUUGUCCCAGUCAAUGAAUGACUUUAAUGUGUCAAUCAAUGGCCACAGCUACACUGUUUUGAAUUUCAUACUAU